CAAUAGCGUAUAUUUAAGUUGUUGCAGUUAAAAAGCUCGUAGUUGGAUUUCGGGUGGGACGCAGCGGUCUCGCAUUGCGUUUGUACUGCUGCAGCCCUCCUUCUUGCCGGGGGCGGCCUCUCGGACUUCACUGUCUGGGGGUCAGAAUCGGCGAUGUUACUUUGAGUAAAUUAGAGUGUUCAAAGCAAGCUUACGCUCUGAAUAUAAUAGCAUGGGAUAACACGACAGGACUCUGGCCUAUCGUGUUGGUCUAUAGGACCAGAGUAAUGAUUAAGAGGGACAGUCGGGGGCAUUCGUAUUCCGUUGUCAGAGGUGAAAUUCUUGGAUUUACGGAAGACGAACAUCUGCGAAAGCAUUUGCCAAGGAUGUUUUCAUUGG
Molecule: ribosomal RNA, 378 nt
Filed under: uncultured eukaryote
Lineage: Eukaryota
Description: partial 18S ribosomal RNA
Rfam family: Eukaryotic small subunit ribosomal RNA
Source: RNAcentral